UCAUCUUCGGGGGUAGAGCACUGUUUCGGCUAGGGGGUCAUCCCGACUUACCAACCCGAUGCAAACUACGAAUACCGAAGAAUGUUAUCACGGGAGACACACGGCGGGUGCUAACGUCCGUCGUGAAGAGGGAAACAACCCAGACCGCCAGCUAAGGUCCCAAAGUCACAGUUAAGUGGGAAACGAUGUGGGAAGGCACAGACAGCCAGGAUGUUGGCUUAGAAGCAGCCAUCAUUUAAAGAAAGCGUAAUAGCUCACUGGUCGAGUCGGCCUGCGCGGAAGAUGUAACGGGGCUAAACUGUGCACCGAAGCUGCGGCAGCGACACUAUGUGUUGUUGGGUAGGGGAGCGUUCUGUAAGCCUGCGAAGGUGGCCUGUGAGGGUUGCUGGAGGUAUCAGAAGUGCGAAUGCUGACAUAAGUAACGAUAAUGCGGGUGAAAAGCCCGCACGCCGGAAGACCAAGGGUUCCUGUCCAACGUUAAUCGGGGCAGGGUGAGUCGACCCCUAAGGCGAGGCCGAAAGGCGUAGUCGAUGGGAAACAGGUUAAUAUUCCUGUACUUGGUGUUACUGCGAAGGGGGGACGGAGAAGGCUAUGUUAGCCGGGCGACGGUUGUCCCGGUUUAAGCAUGUAGGCGGAGGUUCCAGGUAAAUCCGGUACCUUAUUAACGCUGAGGUGUGAUGACGAGGCACUACGGUGCUGAAGUAACAAAUGCCCUGCUUCCAGGAAAAGCCUCUAAGCAUCAGGUAACAUCAAAUCGUACCCCAAACCGACACAGGUGGUCAGGUAGAGAAUACCAAGGCGCUUGAGAGAACUCGGGUGAAGGAACUAGGCAAAAUGGUGCCGUAACUUCGGGAGAAGGCACGCUGAUAUGUAGGUGAAGCCCCUGCGGGUGGAGCUGAAAUCAGUCGAAGAUACCAGCUGGCUGCAACUGUUUAUUAAAAACACAGCACUGUGCAAACACGAAAGUGGACGUAUACGGUGUGACGCCUGCCCGGUGCCGGAAGGUUAAUUGAUGGGGUUAUCCGUAAGGAGAAGCUCUUGAUCGAAGCCCCGGUAAACGGCGGCCGUAACUAUAACGGUCCUAAGGUAGCGAAAUUCCUUGUCGGGUAAGUUCCGACCUGCACGAAUGGCGUAAUGAUGGCCAGGCUGUCUCCACCCGAGACUCAGUGAAAUUGAACUCGCUGUGAAGAUGCAGUGUACCCGCGGCAAGACGGAAAGACCCCGUGAACCUUUACUAUAGCUUGACACUGAACAUUGAGCCUUGAUGUGUAGGAUAGGUGGGAGGCUUUGAAGCGUGGACGCCAGUCUGCGUGGAGCCAACCUUGAAAUACCACCCUUUAAUGUUUGAUGUUCUAACGUUGGCCCCUGACCGGGGUUGCGGACAGUGUCUGGUGGGUAGUUUGACUGGGGCGGUCUCCUCCCAAAGAGUAACGGAGGAGCACGAAGGUUAGCUAAUCCUGGUCGGACAUCAGGAGGUUAGUGCAAUGGCAUAAGCUAGCUUGACUGCGAGCGUGACGGCGCGAGCAGGUGCGAAAGCAGGUCAUAGUGAUCCGGUGGUUCUGAAUGGAAGGGCCAUCGCUCAACGGAUAAAAGGUACUCCGGGGAUAACAGGCUGAUACCGCCCAAGAGUUCAUAUCGACGGCGGUGUUUGGCACCUCGAUGUCGGCUCAUCACAUCCUGGGGCUGAAGUAGGUCCCAAGGGUAUGGCUGUUCGCCAUUUAAAGUGGUACGCGAGCUGGGUUUAGAACGUCGUGAGACAGUUCGGUCCCUAUCUGCCGUGGGCGCUGGAGAAUUGAGGGGGGCUGCUCCUAGUACGAGAGGACCGGAGUGGACGCAUCACUGGUGUUCGGGUUGUCAUGCCAAUGGCAUUGCCCGGUAGCUAAAUGCGGAAGAGAUAAGUGCUGAAAGCAUCUAAGCACGAAACUUGCCCCGAGAUGAGUUCUCCCUGAGACUUUAAGUCUCCUGAAGGAACGUUAAAGACGAUGACGUUGAUAGGUCGGGUGUGUAAGCGUAGCGAUACGUUGAGCUAACCGAUACUAAUGAACCGUGAGGCUUAACCUU
This 2061-nucleotide ribosomal RNA is filed under the name Klebsiella sp. 141153. RNAcentral's name for it is "partial 23S ribosomal RNA". It matches the Rfam family "Bacterial large subunit ribosomal RNA", at positions 890 to 2925 of the family's 2925-position model. The record is from RNAcentral. Lineage: Bacteria; Pseudomonadati; Pseudomonadota; Gammaproteobacteria; Enterobacterales; Enterobacteriaceae.